This 111-nucleotide ribosomal RNA is filed under the name Salvator merianae (Argentine black and white tegu). The record is from RNAcentral. Lineage: Eukaryota; Metazoa; Chordata; Lepidosauria; Squamata; Teiidae.
UUGUACAUCCUCAACGCUGAACAUGACCAAUCUCAUCUUAUCUCGGAAGCUAAGCAGGGUCGGGCCUGGUUAGUACUUGCUUGGGAGCCCAGAGCAGAGGUGAUUUCUGAG